AUAAAUGCUCUUGUGUGGUGUAAAACGUUAAGGUAUUGCUUUAUGAGCUUUGAAUCAGUUUUGAAAAGAAUGCAUUUUAUUAAUUUUGAGUGAGUCCAAAUUUCACCCUUACCUAAUCUCUAAAAAGAACAGUGUGAAAACAAAUUUGUGGUUCAGAUAACAUACAACUUCUUGUUGGCAAUGGAACAAAGGAAGUGAAGCUUCCUGUCACCGAAGUAUAACAUCUCUCCCACUCACUUCGAGGUCAAAACCAAGCCUUAAGUGGGAAUAUCGGUCAUAUUGGACAACACUGUGCGGUGUGGUAACACACACCCUGACUGCUGCAAAUGGCAGGUCUCAGCAGUCUCAAGCUCCUGCUGCUAUGGGCUGGGAUCAUCAGUUUGGGCAGCUCUGCCUGGACUCUAGAGUGUGAGUAUCAAUUUGACUUUUUUAUAUAUAAUUUGUUACAUCCAGUAUCUGUAUUCUCACAUUUUACCAAGUAUAGUCAAUUUACCCAGUGAUGGUUUGGAGUAUUUGUAUUUUAUCCUGUCUCAGCACACAGAAGUAUGUUCAAUACAACGAGCCCUAUGCCUGGUAAAUACAGCAUGUACGUUUUCAGACCUGGGAAAUACUGCAUUACUUUUAUCAGUGUUUCAGUUUUUCACAUGGAAUCACACACCUGAGGUUUUGUACUGACAAUGAGCAUAAUGUCACAUUUAUUGAUACUGUUGAAGAAACAUGUGACUCUGGUGGAGAUAAAACUUUCAUAAUGAAUGAACUGGGCACAGAAAGAAAAUCUAUGUAUUGUCUUAACUGAGUCAACAUCAUGCUGGUAAAACACUGUCACAAAUCUUAUGACUGUGUUUUUAUAUUCAAA
This is a long non-coding RNA of Monopterus albus (swamp eel), 856 nucleotides long. RefSeq lists it as uncharacterized. The transcript is spliced from 3 exons. The record is from RefSeq and is a predicted model, not a curated record. Lineage: Eukaryota; Metazoa; Chordata; Actinopteri; Synbranchiformes; Synbranchidae.